Erinaceus europaeus (western European hedgehog) is the source of this 4320-nucleotide RNA transcript. It is a transcript of the gene named TAFA chemokine like family member 2, with no coding region annotated. The record is from RefSeq and is a predicted model, not a curated record. The transcript has 6 exons. Lineage: Eukaryota; Metazoa; Chordata; Mammalia; Eulipotyphla; Erinaceidae.
GAGGUGGCUGUUUGGAGGGUAGGAGGGAGGUAACGCCGCUGGGUCCUGCCAUCCCAUUUUACUGCUUAACUCAAUCUGGAGUGUGGGGACCUUCCUCUCCCUGCCUUCUUGCAUUAUACAGGGAGACCUGUCACUUCGUACGCCCUAGGCAGCCGGGCUGGGUGGAAUAAAGGGUUUGAGUGGACAGAAGGGUCUGUCCUGUACGGUGACUUUCUAAAAGACACUAUCAGUGUCUUCUGACAGUCCAGCUCCUAGAGUGGGAGGCGGAGAGCAGUCUUUGCCUAAUAAACCGCUGCUUUUCUGUCUUUUGGGGAUCACUAAUUUACCCCCUUCGGACCCCUCCCCGGCUUCUUCUGUCCCCUUUCGUCUUUAGGGAAUUGACACAGGCAACACCUGCCCGCUGGGGAUCUAUGUUGGAACUCGCACUUUCUCAGUGGUGAAGGUGCCAGAGUACUGGGGACAGAGGGGCAGAGGCGGUUUCCCCUUUUUUCCAGCCCACGAUGCCUAGAGGAGCAGCGGCUGGGCUGCGUGGGGCUUUGCCCACAGCUCUAGGUGGCGGGAUUGAGGGGCAGCGGCUGGUCAGGUGUUGCUGCUAAGUGGACUAGUCGCGAAGUCUCACGGAGGACACCAGCUGAGCCCCGUCUGCUAUCAGCGGGAAGGGGGCGCCUGAACCCGAGGAGGGUCUCGAGGUCUCGUGCGCCGAGGCCGCCGGCGCGCACAGCUCCUCCUCCUGCUCGCCGCUCCGAGCUUUUCCCGGCAACUGCUCGGCGUCGGGACCCGGACCUGCCGGAGCCCGGGGACUGGACAAGUACGCGGCGGAGGCUGCUUUCCUGAAGGUGAAUCACUCAGUCCACAUUGCCUUUCCCCAGAGAGCGAAAGGGAGGGCGGGAGAAGGAACGAACGAUAUGUGUGUGUGAGAGGGAGAGACGACUCGAGGCGAGAGGAAAAGUCUUAACUCCGCGUUCAGACCAAACAAAUCCGAGAUGGAAUAAAAGCGGUAACUGCUGCAAGACCGCCUGGACCCGCGCAUUCCGGGGAGCUGAGCGCGCGGUGCGCAGCCUGCAAGGACACCCGGCGACCGCGGGCGCUGGCGAGGCUGCGGGACUUUGCUGCCCCUCAGUCCCUUCAGCAAACGCAUCUUUUGGUUACUUUGACGCUGUGGCAUAGGGAGGAGGAUAACAGACGAGACUCAACGCACUCCGCCUCCCAUCUGCUCCCCCCUCUUUCCUUCCUUCCUUUUUAUUAUUAUUUUUCUUUUUUUGGUGAGGAAACUCCAGUUUGGAUGUUAAGAGAUUCCUGAAUUUGCCGUCAGACGAGGAAACACGCGCGCGCACACACACACGCACGCUCGGGGCACAUUCACACGCCCUCCACGAGCACACACCAUCCUCAGACUUGGGUUCCCUAUGCCCCUGAACGGUGACGGCGGAUCGGCGUCUUGGAAGCGAUGCAAGAACGGUAAGGCUGGCGCCCGCCCGCGACAGCUGCAGGAACAUCGCUAGGUGUUGCCGCCACCAGAAAGCCGGGCUGCAGGAUGAGUAAGAGAUACUUACAAAAAGCAACAAAAGGAAAACUACUCAUAAUAAUAUUUAUUGUAACCUUGUGGGGCAAAGUUGUAUCCAGUGCAAACCAUCACAAAGCUCACCAUGUUAAAACGGGCACUUGCGAGGUGGUGGCCCUCCACAGAUGCUGUAAUAAGAACAAGAUAGAAGAACGGUCACAAACAGUCAAGUGUUCCUGCUUCCCUGGGCAGGUGGCAGGCACCACAAGAGCUGCUCCAUCUUGUGUGGAUGCUUCAAUAGUGGAACAGAAAUGGUGGUGCCAUAUGCAGCCAUGUCUUGAGGGAGAGGAAUGUAAAGUUCUUCCAGAUCGAAAAGGAUGGAGCUGUUCCUCUGGGAAUAAAGUGAAAACAACUAGAGCAAACGUGUAAAACUCUUCAAGUUCGAAUGGAGAAGUAGAAAGAGAAGGUUUCUGCUGUGCCUGAUGACAAUUUUUGAUUUUUCCACAUUAAAAAAAAAAAUUCUGGCUCCUCGUUGGAGGUCUAGUGUGGCAAAUACUAGUACUGGUCGGAUUCUAAGGAAGGGACAGAAGUUUCGUUGAGGAAUAAAGAUUCAAAAGAACUGCAAAAAUGAGCUCCCAUCUCGAUUUAUUUCCCACAGAGCAGCAGGUAACCCAUUAACCAAGGAUAAAUCAAGUGAUCCUCAAGGCUUAUUACAUUGCACAUAUGCAGAGAAACUGAACUUCUGAGGUGAUCUUGAAGGAAAAGAUUUUUAUACUGUUCAGGAAGAGGAACUCUGGUGUCUUGUUUCCUAGGAUUUUCAUGGCUCACAAGCAGCCUCUUCUUGAAACCAAGGCUUAUUAAAAAAAAAAAAUCAAACAAACUUCUGUGUCAUGAACAUUUCAAAUCUGAACUGUGUUCAACUUGUAAAAUUGCACUUGCUGAAAGAAUUUGAAGUUGCUAUCUGAAGAGUUGGUGAACAGUUGGUAUUUCUGGAUGAUGACAGAGACAGUCACCUUUUGAGCACUUGGCUUUAAAUGUGACUGCUUUUCUUGUUUCUGAGCGUCCUCCACAUGCACUGGCUUUCUGUCAUGGAUGUGUUCCUUAGUCCGUCAUUCAUUGGCUAGUGUGACUGAACAAGGCUCUAGUGACAUUUACUUUGCGAACUUCUCUGGCAUGGUGUAUAGACUGAGACUAAUUUUAUUUGUACCUUAAUCUUGGAGAUCUGAAAGCCUACAUGUUUUAACAUCUUAAAGUUGCUUUUGUUAAUGGAAUAGAAAUAUAUAUCCAUUGAUAAUAAUUAUUGUUGGAAAGUAAUAGUUAUCUGACUACAUCAAUCAUAUAAGAAUGUAUAGACAAGCUGACAUGUUUCCCCAAGGCUAACACAUUACUUACUGCAGCUCUGUGUCAGUUAAAUAGAAAGUAGUUAGAACUGAAUUAACAUUUUCAUUAUAUACUAUUUUGUAACACUAGAAACCUCUCCCUUUCAGCUUUUUUUUUUUUAUGUGGGUUUUUCUUUUUUAUUGUUUAAAAGAUUUAUUUUCAUGAGAGAAAAACCAGAGUAGUAUUCAGCUUUGAGGUAUGGUAGUGCCAGGGAUUGGGCGUGAGAUACAUAAGGUCUCAGGCAUGCAACUCUGGUACACUACCAAGGUACAAUCUCCCCAACCUUUUUUCAUUUUUAUGUUUACUUUUUCCUUCUACAGAAGUCAGCAGUGAUUAGUCAAGUUCUUAGGUAGCCUUCAGUUUCAAAAAAAAAUUGACAGGGACGCAUGUAGAUUUCUUAGCUUUUUUUUUUUAACUUCCUUUGUAUCUCAUUUUAAAAGACUGUCUCUUGCUUGAUCACGAUGACUAAAUGCUUAUAAAUCUGUUCAGUCUGUUGAUAGAAUUGUUCAUUUUCCUCAAACAUUCCAUUAUAGUUAUUCUAUUCAAAGAAUUUCUUAGGAAUUUGUCUACCUUUUUGUAAUCAUUUUAACAUUUGUGAUUUUUCCCUUCUAAGAGAGCUUGUUAUAAAUAUUUAAAGGCCUUAAACAUGUACUUUCAUUUCAAAUUAUUGCGGAAUGUAUAAUUUUGUACAUUUAUUUUGUUUCAUUUGUGAUGUGAAGGGAGAAAAGAAUGGACAUUGGAUAGACACUCUGUAAUAUUGUGUAAAUGUACAGUUUGAAGAUAUGCAAAGGGAGAAUCAUCUGUGUCUCACUCAGUUUAGACUAAUAGGAAGAUACUUCUGAAACAGUCCUAUUAGAAGCUCCAUAUUGUCAGAGAGGUGUGGACACCUCACUUGUUUUUAAAACUUACUGACAUGGUCUACUAGAUUUAUGCUUAUUUCCAUGGUGGAAGCCAAUAUACCAAGAUUUUGUUCUGCUCAUUGGUAAGAACUUUAAAUGACCAAUUACAUUCCCUUAAUUUUUUUUUUUUACAUAGAAUUGAAAGUAUAAAAUUUGUUAAGAAAAUAAUAAAUUGGCAAAAGUAUACCAUAUAUUGAACUGAAGUAUACUGGUCUGCCAAGUUGGUGGAAUACAAUGAUUUCUCCUCCAUCUUCACUAUGUCCAAAAUUAACUAGAUUAUUUUGAUGGGUUUUAUAAUGGUUCAAGACUAUUUGAACAAAGAAAGUAAUUAAUAAUUGUGUUGGAGUUUCUACAUCAACUUUAAUAUUGAUUUCUUUGGAAAAAAGUGGAAAACUUAUUUUGAAUUUGUUCUCGGUUUGAAAUUAUAGGUACUGCUUCUCGUUUUUAAAACUGUGUCCUUUAAAACACUGAAAAGUCUGUAUUAUAUUCAAGUGUAAUACAUGCAUAUCAAUAGUGAAAAUAAAUGGAACUUCAAAUACA